GAGUUUGAUCAUGGCUCAGGAUGAACGCUAGCGACAGGCUUAACACAUGCAAGUCGAGGGGCAGCGGGGAGUAAGCUUGCUUAUUCCUGCCGGCGACCGGCGCACGGGUGAGUAACACGUAUGCAACCUGCCCUUGGCAGGGGGAGUAACCCGGAGAAAUCCGGACUAAUACCGCGUAACACCCUUGGGGACGAUCCCCGGGGGUCGAAAGGAAGCAAUUCCGGCCAAGGAUGGGCAUGCGUCGCAUUAGGCAGUUGGCGGUGUAACGGACCACCAAACCGACGAUGCGUAGGGUUCGUGAGAGGAAGGCCCCCCACCACUGGUACUGAGACACGGACC
RNAcentral lists this ribosomal RNA (339 nucleotides) under uncultured bacterium. RNAcentral describes it as "bacterial SSU rRNA". It matches the Rfam family "Bacterial small subunit ribosomal RNA", at positions 9 to 332 of the family's 1533-position model. The record is from RNAcentral.